This 337-nucleotide ribosomal RNA is filed under the name Salmonella enterica subsp. enterica serovar Reading. Its description in RNAcentral is "partial 23S ribosomal RNA". It matches the Rfam family "Bacterial large subunit ribosomal RNA", at positions 122 to 499 of the family's 2925-position model. The record is from RNAcentral. Lineage: Bacteria; Pseudomonadati; Pseudomonadota; Gammaproteobacteria; Enterobacterales; Enterobacteriaceae.
GGAAACCCAGUGUGACUCGUCACACUAUCAUUAACUGAAUCCAUAGGUUAAUGAGGCGAACCGGGGGAACUGAAACAUCUAAGUACCCCGAGGAAAAGAAAUCAACCGAGAUUCCCCCAGUAGCGGCGAGCGAACGGGGAGGAGCCCAGAGCCUGAAUCAGCAUGUGUGUUAGUGGAAGCGUCUGGAAAGGCGCGCGAUACAGGGUGACAGCCCCGUACACAAAAGCGCAUGUGCUGUGAGCUCGAUGAGUAGGGCGGGACACGUGGUAUCCUGUCUGAAUAUGGGGGGACCAUCCUCCAAGGCUAAAUACUCCUGACUGACCGAUAGUGAACCAGU